AGCGGCGCACCCCUGAGAAAUGCUUAGGAAUCUGCCUAUUAGUGGGGGACAACAUCUCGAAAGGGAUGCUAAUACCGCAUACGUCCUACGGGAGAAAGCAGGGGAUCACUUGUGACCUUGCGCUAAUAGAUGAGCCUAAGUCGGAUUAGCUAGUUGGUGGGGUAAAGGCCUACCAAGGCGACGAUCUGUAGCGGGUCUGAGAGGAUGAUCCGCCACACUGGGACUGAGACACGGCCCAGACUCCUACGGGAGGCAGCAGUGGGGAAUAUUGGACAAUGGGGGGAACCCUGAUCCAGCCAUGCCGCGUGUGUGAAGAAGGCCUUAUGGUUGUAAAGCACUUUAAGCGAGGAGGAGGCUCUUUUGGUUAAUACCCAAGAUGAGUGGACGUUACUCGCAGAAUAAGCACCGGCUAACUCUGUGCCAGCAGCCGCGGUAAUACAGAGGGUGCAAGCGUUAAUCGGAUUUACUGGGCGUAAAGCGCGCGUAGGCGGCCAAUUAAGUCAAAUGUGAAAUCCCCGAGCUUAACUUGGGAAAUUGCAUUCGAUACUGGUUGGCUAGAGUGUGGGAGAGGAUGGUAGAAUUCCAGGUGUAGCGUGAAAUGCGUAGAGAUCUGGAGGAUACCGAUGGCGAAGGCAGCCAUCUGGCCUAACACUGACGCUGAGGUGCGAAAGCAUGGGAGCAAACAGGAUUAGAUACCCUGGUAGUCCAUGCCGUAACGAUGUCUACUAGCCGUUGGGGCCUUUUGAGGCUUUAGUGCCGCAGCUAACGCGAUAAGGUAGACCGCCUGGGGGAGUACGGUCGCAAGGACUAAAACUCAAAUGGAUUUGGAC
This 830-nucleotide ribosomal RNA is filed under the name Acinetobacter sp. RNAcentral's name for it is "bacterial SSU rRNA". It matches the Rfam family "Bacterial small subunit ribosomal RNA", at positions 94 to 920 of the family's 1533-position model. The record is from RNAcentral. Lineage: Bacteria; Pseudomonadati; Pseudomonadota; Gammaproteobacteria; Moraxellales; Moraxellaceae.